RNAcentral lists this ribosomal RNA (373 nucleotides) under uncultured organism. Its description in RNAcentral is "partial 16S ribosomal RNA". It matches the Rfam family "Bacterial small subunit ribosomal RNA", at positions 527 to 896 of the family's 1533-position model. The record is from RNAcentral.
GUAGGUGGCAAGCGUUGUCCGGAAUUAUUGGGCGUAAAGCGCGCGCAGGCGGUUCUUUAAGUCUGAUGUGAAAGCCCACGGCUCAACCGUGGAGGGUCAUUGGAAACUGGAGAACUUGAGUACAGAAGAGGAAAGCGGAAUUCCACGUGUGGCGGUGAAAUGCGUAGAGAUGUGGAGGAACACCAGUGGCGAAGGCGGCUUUCUGGUCUGUAACUGACGCUGAGGCGCGAAAGCGUGGGGAGCAAACAGGAUUAGAUACCCUGGUAGUCCACGCCGUAAACGAUGAGUGCUAAGUGUUAGGGGGGUUUCCGCCCCCCUUAGUGCUGCAGCUAACGCAUUAAGCACUCCGCCUGGGAGUACGGCCGCAAGGCUG